Pungitius pungitius (ninespine stickleback) is the source of this 742-nucleotide long non-coding RNA. RefSeq lists it as uncharacterized. The transcript is spliced from 3 exons. The record is from RefSeq and is a predicted model, not a curated record. NCBI's taxonomy places the organism in Eukaryota, Metazoa, Chordata, Actinopteri, Perciformes, Gasterosteidae.
GAUGGGCAACACUUGUUAGAGAUAUUUAGACCAAGUUAAAACAGGUUAAAGUAAGUCACGCAGAUAUCGACUGCGCUGCCUGGAGGCCUUUGUCACGUUUUAAAUCUUUGCCUGUUGCCGUCACGUUGGCGGCACAACUUCCCUCGUAUGGAAACUCGGUCACACUCCUGUUGACGUUCACGUUGCCUACGUUACAUCCUUUUGAGUGAAGUUAAAGUUACGUUCAGGGGACAAAUGGGACUUACUUGGCGCUGGUGAUCUGUGGCGGAAAGUGAACAAUCUGGAUAGAGACGCAACGCAGUUUCCUGCUUCUCAGGGGCCUGGGUGCUAUGAAGGGCCUUGGUGUCCCCAUCAGAGUCCCAAUCAUCCUGAAAAUGGAGCAGAAUAAGGAAUUGAGCAAGGAGGUGUGGACAUGUUCAUCCUGGGAGGGUGCUGACGGCCAUCAGCCAUCAGGGGGCUGCCCUACACCAACCUGGGUCUUCCUGCCAUUCGUCGGCAGGUCGUUCCGUCGUCAGAGUUAUGCAUUCGGGCCAUCUGGUAACUCCUGUGGAUUAGACGCUGGUUUUUAUUGCCCUGGUGUACCGGGAUCCCUACCUGACUGCUGGCUGGCUCUCCGAGGUCAUUACCCCCCACCAGACUCAACCGUGUCCACCUUUUUUUGUGCGUGAAUAAAGACGUUAUCUCCCAGGAAACCUCACCCAUGAGUCCUGUGUGCUGCGCUUGGGUCCACGUCCAUUUACCU